UUAAGUUCAGCGGGUAGUCCUACCUGAUCUGAGGUCUAAAUCGCUCGAGUAAUACAAUUACAAUUCAACUACUCCGAUCAGCGUCCCGAGUGAGGCGACUCUACAACACCCGGUCAAACCGCUGAUGGUCGCUAGCCUACUACAUUUAAGACCGGCAGGGCGAACCCCGCCAAGUCCAGGUUCCAAUCCGCUGAGCAACG
Molecule: unclassified non-coding RNA, 200 nt
Filed under: fungal sp.
Lineage: Eukaryota; Fungi
Description: partial internal transcribed spacer 2
Source: RNAcentral